CCAUGGACCUUGCCGCUAAUAGUGAUGACUGUGGUGGCCACCGCGGUGGUUGCCAUGGUGGAACCCCGUAGCAAUGGUGCCUCUCCUAUGAUCACAUUUAGCCUCGUGGAUUGCAGUGGACCCAUUUCUUGAAUAUUGGAAUUUUCACUUGUGGAAUUUUUUAAAUUUCUAGCCAUUUUAUUUCUCUUUUACGUUUUAUCAAAGAAUCUUUGCAAAUAAAAAAUUCUAAUAAUAAGAACGUACGAAAAAUCUACAAAUGGACAAGAAAAUAGAAAAACUUUUUGAUGCGGGAGUCUUCUACAAGUGUGUGACUCUUCUCUCAAUGAAAGCACCAAUUUGUGGAUACAAAUUUCCGUCUCCUUCUUAGACAAAAUUGCACGUACAAAACAAUUAAUACCUUAGGGUCAAGGCCACGAGCCUCACGCGCUCACGAUGAAUGGGGGCCAUUGGCUGAAUAACCUCCGAUGCCAAAGUUAGAAUUUAGAAAGAAAAGUGUUUAGAUAGUUGUUGGAGUUUUUCAAGAGUGUGGACCUAGGUUUUUAGAGAAAAUAAGGUAGUUUAUAUAGGGCAUGCCCGGUCCCCUUUGGAGAAAAGGCGGCCGGACCUUUGGGAUGUUUUUUAGUGUAUUUUGUGGUUAAUGGGUGAUUUAAUUGGUAAUUAAUGGAUUAAUUAGACAUAAAUUCAUUAAUUAGCCAAUUAACUCAAUUUAUAUGGAAUGUUUUGAAGGUUAAGGAAUGAUUAAAAUAAAUAGUUAAUUUAUUAGCUAAAAAGGUGAGAAAGAGGUAAAAAAAUAUAUGGAAUGAAAUAGGUGGGAGUUACCUUGUAGAAGGGAUUUGAUGAGAUCAGUUUUGAAUUGUUACCUAUUUUGGGCAUUUUUGACUUGAUUGAGGGAUGAUUGUCCACUGCUCGCGCGUAGGAAUCUCGAUGUGCCUCGAGGGUAAUUUUAUCCUUUUAACCCAAAAAUCCAUGUGUCACCUCUUGAAUUCUUUUGGCUCCACACUUAUGUGCCUGACAACUAGGUUUUACACAUUCUAAUUAAUUUAUUAAAAUAAAUAUUAUAAUAAAAAAUAUAAAAAUCUAAAAUCACCGUAAAGAGUUGAAUAACAAAUGUAUUAAUAAUCGGAGUGAAAAAUGAAAUGCCAAAGAAAUAACGUGAAGCCCAAAUUGGGCUUGCCAUCUCGGCUGCAAGAAAAAAAAAA
This 1199-nucleotide long non-coding RNA is filed under the name Malus domestica (apple). RNAcentral describes it as "long non-coding RNA (MDOM_LNC003675)". Lineage: Eukaryota; Viridiplantae; Streptophyta; Magnoliopsida; Rosales; Rosaceae. The record is from RNAcentral.